UCGGAAGGUGCGGCUGGAUCACCUCCUUUCUAAGGAUGAGAAGCUGAUACGUCAGCUUCUCACGUGAGAUUUUUAUCUCUUAGAAAUAAAAAAAUCUCAAGGUAAACUUUGGGUAUUCUAUAUAAUAUUUCAAAACUGAACCAACAAAACUAAAUAGCAAAAAAUAUUUCCAGUCAAGAAAGAAAGGGCGCAAGGUGGAUGCCUUGGCACAUGAAGACGAAGAAGGACGUAAGUGAACGAAAACUAGGGAUAGCUCACAAAAAGCACUGACCCCUAG
This 277-nucleotide unclassified non-coding RNA is filed under the name Anaerococcus tetradius. Its description in RNAcentral is "partial contains 16S ribosomal RNA, 16S-23S ribosomal RNA intergenic spacer, and 23S ribosomal RNA". The stretch from base 172 to 277 matches the Rfam family "Bacterial large subunit ribosomal RNA", at positions 1 to 109 of the family's 2925-position model. Lineage: Bacteria; Bacillati; Bacillota; Tissierellia; Tissierellales; Peptoniphilaceae. The record is from RNAcentral.